Molecule: unclassified non-coding RNA, 143 nt
Filed under: uncultured fungus
Lineage: Eukaryota; Fungi
Also listed under: 1 other name
Description: sequence contains ITS1, 5.8S rRNA gene
Source: RNAcentral
UAAUAAGUGUUUUACUGCACUUUUUAAAAAUAGUACUCACCUUGUGUGCAAUGUUGUGUUUCUUUUCGGAGAAACACCUACACCAACCUAUAACCUUGAACCACUUUGUCUGAAAAACUAUUAUGAAUACUUAAUUCAAAAUA